GGAUCCAGACUUUGAUUCUGGCUCAGGAUGAACGCUGGCGGCGUGCCUAACACAUGCAAGUCGAACGAAGCUUGACGGAUGAUUUCUUCGGAAUGAAACCUGAUAUGACUUAGUGGCGGACGGGUGAGUAACACGUGAGCAACCUGCCUUUCAGAGGGGGAUAACGGCUGGAAACGGUCGCUAAUACCGCAUGAUGUGUUCGGAUGGCAUCAUCUGAACAUCAAAGAUUUAUCGCUGAAAGAUGGGCUCGCGUCUGAUUAGAUAGUUGGUGGGGUAACGGCCUACCAAGUCAACGAUCAGUAGCCGGACUGAGAGGUUGAACGGCCACAUUGGGACUGAGAUACGGCCCAGACUCCUACGGGAGGCAGCAGUGGGGAAUAUUGCACAAUGGGGGAAACCCUGAUGCAGCAACGCCGCGUGAAGGAUGACGGUUUUCGGAUUGUAAACUUCUUUUCUUAGUGACGAAGACAGUGACGGUAGCUAAGGAAUAAGCAUCGGCUAACUACGUGCCAGCAGCCGCGGUAAUACGUAGGAUGCAAGCGUUAUCCGGAUUUACUGGGUGUAAAGGGAGCGCAGGCGGGACUGCAAGUUGGAUGUGAAAUACCGUGGCUUAACCACGGAACUGCAUCCAAAACUGUAGUUCUUGAGUGAAGUAGAGGCAAGCGGAAUUCCGAGUGUAGCGGUGAAAUGCGUAGAUAUUCGGAGGAACACCAGUGGCGAAGGCGGCUUGCUGGGCUUUAACUGACGCUGAGGCUCGAAAGUGUGGGGAGCAAACAGGAUUAGAUACCCUGGUAGUCCACACUGUAAACGAUGAUAGCUAGGUGUGGGGGGUCUGACCCCUUCCGUGCCGGAGUUAACGCAAUAAGCUAUCCACCUGGGGAGUACGACCGCAAGGUUGCAACUCAAAUGAAUUGACGG
RNAcentral lists this ribosomal RNA (918 nucleotides) under uncultured bacterium. Its description in RNAcentral is "bacterial SSU rRNA". It matches the Rfam family "Bacterial small subunit ribosomal RNA", at positions 1 to 916 of the family's 1533-position model. The record is from RNAcentral. RNAcentral also lists the same sequence under 1 other name.